Molecule: long non-coding RNA, 1917 nt
Organism: Papaver somniferum (opium poppy)
Lineage: Eukaryota; Viridiplantae; Streptophyta; Magnoliopsida; Ranunculales; Papaveraceae
Exons: 3
Source: RefSeq, a predicted model, not a curated record
UUUACGUCUGAAAAAUUUAUUUCUCUAUCCUUCUCUUUCAACCACCUCCAACACCUCUGCAACUACCACCAUCAGCUCUGUCGCCGCCACCACCACGUCCUCCACGAUUAGCAGCAGAUCUAUCACUGUGUUGGUGUUCAAUUUCAACUAAUUUCAACAUUUUAUUUAUUGUUCUUCAUCUUCCGAGGUUAAAAGAUUGGUUUUCCAUAUUCAGAGAUUGAUAGAUUUAAGUUUUUGGUUUUCGAGUUGAAGAUUGAAUGAGAUCUUUGCUUGCUCGAUUCAUUGAAGACAAGUAUUGAUGCAGUAUGUAUGAUUUUUAAUUUGGUUGCAGAGAUUUUGGAAGUUUAAUUUGUGUUGAUUCAAUUGCAACUUCGAGAUUAUUGAUUCUGAAACCGGGUGGCGUACCUUGUCCCGGAUAAGUCUGACAAGCUAUACGAGCUUGGAUUUAGCAAAUUUAUUUGGUGGUCAAAGUAUUCUCAAAUAUUGCAAUAAUACGUUCAUUAUCCAGUGCCACUUUACCCGAUUCGCUGGAUAAUUUGCGAGAAACAUCGACCGUAAUAAUUUAUGGGUAAGUUUAAUCUCAAGACCGUAGUACAGUGAUAAUUGUACUUUGUUAUUCCCUACUGAAUAUGAAUGCAUGUUUUGUAAUGUAAUUGUGAUUCCAAGUCUACUGUAGUAGUUUUUAACCCACAAUAUAGGUAUCUCACACUACCAUUUGAUAUUUUCUAGUGCAUUUUUGUUCUGGAUUAUUUUUUUCUAGCUGGUGGUUGCUAAUCCAGUGAUCUUAUUUCUACGCAUAACAACAAUUGCCAAAGGGGAGCUGUUGCAUUUUGGCUUUACUUUGUUGCUGGGUACAGUCGUAUCAAAAUUCCACCCCGCCAAUGCUUGCCAAUCACCUCGAGGUAGCCUACGUUAGAGACUCCUUAUAACUUCCCAUGGUGUUAAUAUGGUAGUUUGAAUUGUAUGUACAGAAACUUACAAUUGUUUUCUACUUAUAACUGUUUUGAAUUUACUCCUUAUACAGUAAAAUUUCGAUAUAUUAAUAGCUUUGGGAUCGGAGAAAAUUAUUAUUUUAGCGAAGUUAUUAAUUUAUCGAGUUUAAAUUUAGCCUGUACAAGCCUAGUUGGGACCGGAGAAUUUUAUUAUUUUAUCGAAGUUCUACUGGAAUUGUUUUCUACUUGCUGCAAUCAUGGGGUACUUGCUUUAAACUGUAUCCUCCAGUUCACAGUCUUGUUCCUAAAAUGGUAGCUAAGUUUUGAUCCAUUUUUAAAUUAAGCAAGCCAUGUUCACAUAGAGUUCAGUAUUGGUGUUGGAAGGAUGGUUGUGGGUGGUGCUGUUGGUAUUGGGGUUUGUUGUUGGUGGAGUGAGAAGGUGGCUUGUUGUUGGUACAUGUGAGAAGGUGAUUGCAUGGGUGUGUGCCGUGAUUUGUGUUGCAUGUUGAUGGUUUUAAAUACCCCACAAGAUGAAACUGUGGUGUAAUGGUAGCAUAACUGAUUUCACGUCAGACAGGGCGGAUCUAUAUAGUGAUUUGGGCUGGCUUAAGCCAUCCCAAAGUCCAAAAGAAACUUCCAUUUUGUAGUGCAAUUGUGUUUGGUUAUGAAAAAUCAAGCCUAAAUAAUAGGCUUAAGCCAGCCGAAGUCAAGCCAAUUUGUUUUCGAGCCACCCCAACAUUCAUUUUCUGGUUCCGCCACUGACGUCAGAAGAUGCGUGUUCGAUGCACGUUAGGUUCACUAAUUUUUGGGAUCAACUUUGGUUGUUGAUACUAGAUUUUAGGGUCAACUCUGGUUGUUGAUACCAUAGUUUGGGAUCAACUUUGAAUGUUGAUACCAUAAAUAAUUCGAACAUUUUUGAAUUCUACAUUUUGGGGAUCAACUUCGGUUGUUGACACCAUAUUAUGUAUUUAUUUUAUUUUCUGAA